GGGUUGUGAGGUUAAGCGACUAAGCGUACACGGUGGAUGCCCUGGCAGUCAGAGGCGAUGAAGGACGUGCUAAUCUGCGAAAAGCGUCGGUAAGGUGAUAUGAACCGUUAUAACCGGCGAUGUCCGAAUGGGGAAACCCAGUGCAAUUCGUUGCACUAUCGUUAACUGAAUACAUAGGUUAACGAGGCGAACCGGGGGAACUGAAACAUCUAAGUACCCCGAGGAAAAGAAAUCAACCGAGAUUCCCCCAGUAGCGGCGAGCGAACGGGGAGCAGCCCAGAGUCUGAAUCAGCUUGUGUGUUAGUGGAACGGUCUGGAAAGUCCGACGGUACAGGGUGAUAGUCCCGUACACCAAAAUGCACAGGUUGUGAACUCGAAGAGUAGGGCGGGACACGUGGUAUCCUGUCUGAAUAUGGGGGGACCAUCCUCCAAGGCUAAAUACUCCUGACUGACCGAUAGUGAACCAGUACCGUGAGGGAAAGGCGAAAAGAACCCCGGCGAGGGGAGUGAAAAAGAACCUGAAACCGUGUACGUACAAGCAGUGGGAGCACCUUCGGGUGUGACUGCGUACCUUUUGUAUAAUGGGUCAGCGACUUAUAUUCUGUAGCAAGGUUAACCGUAUAGGGGAGCCGCAGGGAAACCGAGUCUUAACUGGGCGUUAAGUUGCAGGGUAUAGACCCGAAACCCGGUGAUCUAGCCAUGGGCAGGUUGAAGGUUGGGUAACACUAACUGGAGGACCGAACCGACUAAUGUUGAAAAAUUAGCGGAUGACUUGUGGCUGGGGGUGAAAGGCCAAUCAAACCGGGAGAUAGCUGGUUCUCCCCGAAAGCUAUUUAGGUAGCGCCUCGUGAAUUCAUCUUCGGGGGUAGAGCACUGUUUCGGCUAGGGGGUCAUCCCGACUUACCAACCCGAUGCAAACUACGAAUACCGAAGAAUGUUAUCACGGGAGACACACGGCGGGUGCUAACGUCCGUCGUGAAGAGGGAAACAACCCAGACCGCCAGCUAAGGUCCCAAAGUCAUGGUUAAGUGGGAAACGAUGUGGGAAGGCACAGACAGCCAGGAUGUUGGCUUAGAAGCAGCCAUCAUUUAAAGAAAGCGUAAUAGCUCACUGGUCGAGUCGGCCUGCGCGGAAGAUGUAACGGGGCUAAACCAUGCACCGAAGCUGCGGCAGCGACACUAUGUGUUGUUGGGUAGGGGAGCGUUCUGUAAGCCUGCGAAGGUGGCCUGUGAGGGUUGCUGGAGGUAUCAGAAGUGCGAAUGCUGACAUAAGUAACGAUAAAGCGGGUGAAAAGCCCGCUCGCCGGAAGACCAAGGGUUCCUGUCCAACGUUAAUCGGGGCAGGGUGAGUCGACCCCUAAGGCGAGGCCGAAAGGCGUAGUCGAUGGGAAACAGGUUAAUAUUCCUGUACUUGGUGUUACUGCGAAGGGGGGACGGAGAAGGCUAUGUUAGCCGGGCGACGGUUGUCCCGGUUUAAGCAUGUAGGCUGGUUAUCCAGGCAAAUCCGGAUAAUCAAGGCUGAGGUGUGAUGACGAGGCACUACGGUGCUGAAGUAACAAAUGCCCUGCUUCCAGGAAAAGCCUCUAAGCAUCAGGUAACAUUAAAUCGUACCCCAAACCGACACAGGUGGUCAGGUAGAGAAUACCAAGGCGCUUGAGAGAACUCGGGUGAAGGAACUAGGCAAAAUGGUGCCGUAACUUCGGGAGAAGGCACGCUGGUGUGUAGGUGAAGUCCCUGCGGAUGGAGCUGAGACCAGUCGAAGAUACCAGCUGGCUGCAACUGUUUAUUAAAAACACAGCACUGUGCAAACACGAAAGUGGACGUAUACGGUGUGACGCCUGCCCGGUGCCGGAAGGUUAAUUGAUGGGGUUAUCCGUAAGGAGAAGCUCUUGAUCGAAGCCCCGGUAAACGGCGGCCGUAACUAUAACGGUCCUAAGGUAGCGAAAUUCCUUGUCGGGUAAGUUCCGACCUGCACGAAUGGCGUAAUGAUGGCCAGGCUGUCUCCACCCGAGACUCAGUGAAAUUGAACUCGCUGUGAAGAUGCAGUGUACCCGCGGCAAGACGGAAAGACCCCGUGAACCUUUACUAUAGCUUGACACUGAACAUUGAGCCUUGAUGUGUAGGAUAGGUGGGAGGCUUUGAAGCGUGGACGCCAGUCUGCGUGGAGCCAACCUUGAAAUACCACCCUUUAAUGUUUGAUGUUCUAACGUUGGCCCCUGACCGGGGUUGCGGACAGUGUCUGGUGGGUAGUUUGACUGGGGCGGUCUCCUCCCAAAGCGUAACGGAGGAGCACGAAGGUUAGCUAAUCCUGGUCGGACAUCAGGAGGUUAGUGCAAUGGCAUAAGCUAGCUUGACUGCGAGCGUGACGGCGCGAGCAGGUGCGAAAGCAGGUCAUAGUGAUCCGGUGGUUCUGAAUGGAAGGGCCAUCGCUCAACGGAUAAAAGGUACUCCGGGGAUAACAGGCUGAUACCGCCCAAGAGUUCAUAUCGACGGCGGUGUUUGGCACCUCGAUGUCGGCUCAUCACAUCCUGGGGCUGAAGUAGGUCCCAAGGGUAUGGCUGUUCGCCAUUUAAAGUGGUACGCGAGCUGGGUUUAGAACGUCGUGAGACAGUUCGGUCCCUAUCUGCCGUGGGCGCUGGAGAAUUGAGGGGGGCUGCUCCUAGUACGAGAGGACCGGAGUGGACGCAUCACUGGUGUUCGGGUUGUCAUGCCAAUGGCACUGCCCGGUAGCUAAAUGCGGAAGAGAUAAGUGCUGAAAGCAUCUAAGCACGAAACUUGCCCCGAGAUGAGUUCUCCCUGAGACUUUAAGUCUCCUGAAGGAACGUUGAAGACGACGACGUUGAUAGGCCGGGUGUGUAAGCGCAGCGAUGCGUUGAGCUAACCGGUACUAAUGAACCGUGAGGCUUAACCUUACAACGCCGAAG
This 2923-nucleotide ribosomal RNA is filed under the name Klebsiella pneumoniae. Its description in RNAcentral is "23S ribosomal RNA". It matches the Rfam family "Bacterial large subunit ribosomal RNA". Lineage: Bacteria; Pseudomonadati; Pseudomonadota; Gammaproteobacteria; Enterobacterales; Enterobacteriaceae. The record is from RNAcentral.